Non-coding RNA from Arachis ipaensis, 248 nucleotides. The record is from RefSeq and is a predicted model, not a curated record. Lineage: Eukaryota; Viridiplantae; Streptophyta; Magnoliopsida; Fabales; Fabaceae.
UAUAGUUGAUCCACCAGAGCUUCUGGCCGCCGCCGGAGCUACGCCGGGGCCGAUUCGAAACCGCAGCUGCUUCGUGUUGUUAUUCCGAGCUGUUUAUGCUGCUGCGAAAAUGUGUGGGGCUGUGCUUUGAAGCUGCCUUUGAUUUUGAAUUGAGGUGAAAAGAACUUAUGAGGCGCUUGGAUUAUGGAAUUACGUUUUGAGGAUAUGGGCGCAGAAGUUACGAAUGGUUUAUUUAGUUGUUGUUGAGA